RNAcentral lists this ribosomal RNA (279 nucleotides) under uncultured bacterium. Its description in RNAcentral is "partial 16S ribosomal RNA". It matches the Rfam family "Bacterial small subunit ribosomal RNA", at positions 506 to 784 of the family's 1533-position model. The record is from RNAcentral.
UGCCAGCCGCCGCGGUAAUACGGAGGGUGCAAGCGUUAUUCGGAAUGACUGGGCGUAAAGCGCGCGUAGGCGGCUAGCUAAGUCUGAUGUGAAAGCCCCGGACUCAAUCUGGGAAGUGCAUUGGAUACUGGUUGGCUAGAGUAUAGGAGAGGAGAGCGGAAUUCCAGGUGUAGAGGUGAAAUUCGUAGAUAUCUGGAGGAACAACGGAGGCGAAGGCGGCUCUCUGGACUACAACUGACGCUGAGGUGCGAAAGUGUGGGUAGCAAACAGGAUUAGAUA